Non-coding RNA from Biomphalaria pfeifferi, 604 nucleotides. Lineage: Eukaryota; Metazoa; Mollusca; Gastropoda; Planorbidae. The record is from the annotation of a GenBank genome assembly.
UAUUUUCUCCACUAUAAUGUAUUGCCAAAUUUCGUUAUUUCAAUAAUCAAAAUUAAUAUGAGAAAAAAAAAAUGCACAAGUGAUAUUUACACAUGUUGCCUGAAAACAUUGUCAAGACAAUCAAAUAAAUGAUGAGUGAGUCUCAUAAAUUUCAAGAGAAAACAUACUUAUCAGAAUCUGAUAUCUGGACAAAAAUGUCAACAAAUCUGGCUUAUUCCAUGUUUUUCACAAGGGUAGACUACUAUGAACCAGUGAGUUUAAUGACAAUAAACAAAGAGCAGCACUGAAAGGGAAGUAUGGCUUAAAUCACAAAUAACAGGGCUUUUUAUUGGUAAUGAAGCCAAAGUUUGCUUUCAAGUAUCUAAUAAAUAAAUAUGCAUGUGACAUAAGUAAUCAAAACCAUAUAUAUUUAUUGUGUUAGAACAAUAUUUUAAGGAUAAACACAUUUAAAUAUCUAUGUACGUUAACAAUUUAAUUAUUAUUCCAUUUAUGUCAUAUCAGCCUAAUUCUAACAAUAAAUAAUAGCUACACUUAAAAUACAAUUAAAUACUAUUGUAUACCAUAAAGUUCCUUAGUUAACUAUAUAUAUAUAUAUAUAUAUAUA